GAUGAACGCUGGCGGCAUGCCUAACACAUGCAAGUCGAUCGGUAAGGCUCUUCGGAGUACACGAGAGGCGGACGGCUGAGUAACGCGUAGGAACACACCCUGCAGUGAGGGAUAAGACACCGAAAGGUGUUCUGAUACCGCAUACGGUCUUCGGAUUAAAGCAUUUAUGCGCUGAAGGAGUGGCCUGCGUCAUAUUAGAUAGUUGGUGAGGUAAUGGCUCACCAAGUCGAUGAUGUGUAGCUGGUCUGAGAGGAUGAUCAGCCAGACUGGAACUGAGACACGGUCCAGACUCCUACGGGAGGCAGCAGUGAGGAAUAUUUCACAAUGAGCGAAAGCUUGAUGGAGCAAUGCCGCGUGCAGGAUGAAGGCCCUCGGGUUGUAAACUGCUUUUAUAAGAGAAGAUUAUGACGGUAACUUAUGAAUAAGGGACGGCUAACUACGUG
This 443-nucleotide ribosomal RNA is filed under the name uncultured bacterium. Its description in RNAcentral is "partial 16S ribosomal RNA". It matches the Rfam family "Bacterial small subunit ribosomal RNA", at positions 28 to 507 of the family's 1533-position model. The record is from RNAcentral.